CGCUGGCGGCAUGCUUUACACAUGCAAGUCGAACGGCAGCGCGGGGCAACCUGGCGGCGAGUGGCGAACGGGUGAGUAAAAUAUCGGAACGUACCCAUGAGUGGGGGAUAACGUAGCGAAAGUUACGCUAAUACCGCAUACGAUCUACGGAUGAAAGUGGGGGACCUUAGGGCCUCAUGCUCGUGGAGCGGCCGAUAUCUGAUUAGCUAGUUGGUGGGGUAAAGGCUCACCAAGGCGACGAUCAGUAGCUGGUCUGAGAGGACGACCAGCCACACUGGGACUGAGACACGGCCCAGACUCCUACGGGAGGCAGCAGUGGGGAAUUUUGGACAAUGGGCGCAAGCCUGAUCCAGCAAUGCCGCGUGAGUGAAGAAGGCCUUCGGGUUGUAAAGCUCUUUUGUCAGGGAAGAAAAGGUUGGGGCGAAUAGUUCCGGCUCAUGACGGUACCUGAAGAAUAAGCACCGGCU
This 467-nucleotide ribosomal RNA is filed under the name uncultured bacterium. Its description in RNAcentral is "bacterial SSU rRNA". It matches the Rfam family "Bacterial small subunit ribosomal RNA", at positions 34 to 498 of the family's 1533-position model. The record is from RNAcentral.